CUACGGGUGGCAGCAGUGAGGAAUAUUGCACAAUGGGGGGAACCCUGAUGCAGCAACGCCGCGUGGAGGAUGACGCAUUUCGGUGUGUAAACUCCUUUUAUAUGUCAAGAAAAUGACGGUAGCAUAUGAAUAAGCACCGGCUAACUCCGUGCCAGCAGCCGCGGUAAUACGCGAGGGUGCAAGCGUUACUCGGAAUCACUGGGCGUAAAGGAAGCGUAGGCGGGUUGGAAAGUCAGGUGUGAAAUCCUACAGCUUAACUGUAGAACUGCACUUGAAACUUCUAAUCUAGAGUAUGGGAGGGGGAGAUGGAAUUAGUGGUGUAGGGGUAAAAUCCGUAGAUAUCACUAGGAAUACCUAAAGCGAAGGCGAUCUGCUGGAACAUUACUGACGCUAAGGCGUGAAAGCGUGGGGAGCAAACAGGAUUAGAUACCCCAGUAGUC
Molecule: ribosomal RNA, 440 nt
Filed under: uncultured bacterium
Lineage: Bacteria
Description: partial 16S ribosomal RNA
Rfam family: Bacterial small subunit ribosomal RNA
Source: RNAcentral